UAAGGCGAUGGGGCGACAGGUUCCCAGCGAUGGGAUCAAAAGGGAACCCGGAAAGCCUGGCACCGCCAGGCAGGCCGGGGCUGCCCCCGCAACUGUGACCAGCGAGAAUCGCCCCUCGCGCGCCACUGGGCUCUUUCCCGAGCCUGGGAAGGCCGGGCGAUCCGACGACCUGGGAGCCAGGAGACCUGCCCGUCGCGGUCGGUCCUU
RNAcentral lists this non-coding RNA (207 nucleotides) under Pseudomonadota bacterium. Lineage: Bacteria; Pseudomonadati; Pseudomonadota. The record is from RNAcentral.